GGGUCGUUAGCUCAGUUGGUAGAGCAGUUGACUUUUAAUCAAUUGGUCGCAGGUUCGAAUCCUGAGCAGUUGACUUUUAAUCAAUUGGUCGCAGGUUCGAAUCCUGCACGACCCACCA
RNAcentral lists this transfer RNA (118 nucleotides) under Klebsiella michiganensis. RNAcentral describes it as "tRNA-OTHER". It matches the Rfam family "tRNA". Rfam says of the family: Transfer RNA (tRNA) molecules are approximately 80 nucleotides in length. Their secondary structure includes four short double-helical elements and three loops (D, anti-codon, and T loops). Lineage: Bacteria; Pseudomonadati; Pseudomonadota; Gammaproteobacteria; Enterobacterales; Enterobacteriaceae. The record is from RNAcentral.